This 497-nucleotide ribosomal RNA is filed under the name uncultured bacterium. RNAcentral's name for it is "partial 16S ribosomal RNA". The record is from RNAcentral.
GUAGUUAGCCGGGGCUUUCUUACAGGGUACCGUCACUUCUUCGUCCCCUGCGACAGAGGUUUACAAUCCGAAAACCUUCUUCCCUCACGCGGCGUUGCUGGGUCAGGCUUGCGCCCAUUGCCCAAUAUUCCCCACUGCUGCCUCCCGUAGGAGUCUGGACCGUGUCUCAGUUCCAGUGUGGCCGAUCAGCCUCUCAGCUCGGCUACCCAUCGUCGGCUUGGUGGGCUGUUAUCUCACCAACUACCUAAUGGGACGCGAACCCCUCUAAAAGCGAUAAAUCUUUGACCUCUUCCCGAUGCCGGGUUGUGGUCUUAUGCGGUAUUAGCAGUUGUUUCCACCUGUUAUUCCCCACUCUUAGGCAGGUUGUUCACGCGUUACUCACCCGUGCGCCACUAGAAUUAUCAAUUCCAUCCGAAAACUUCCUUAAUAAUCCCCGUUCGACUUGCAUGUGUUAGGCACGCCGCCAGCGUUCGUCCUGAACCAAGAUCAAACUCUGA